UGGGGAAUAUUGGACAAUGGGGGAAACCCUGAUCCAGCAAUGCCGCGUGAGUGAAGAAGGCCUUAGGGUUGUAAAACUCUUUCAGUUGGGAAGAUUAUGACGGUACCAACAGAAGAAGCACCGGCUAACUCCGUGCCAGCAGCCGCGGUAAUACGGAGGGUGCUAGCGUUAUUCGGAAUUACUGGGCGUAAAGGGCGCGUAGGCGGCCUGUUAAGUCAGAUGUGAAAGCCCUGGGCUCAACCCAGGAAUUGCAUUUGAUACUGGCAGGCUAGAGUUCAAGAGGGGUGAGUGGAAUUCCUAGUGUAGAGGUGAAAUUCGUAGAUAUUAGGAAGAACAUCGGUGGCGAAGGCGACUCACUGGAUUGAUACUGACGCUGAGGCGCGAAAGCGUGGGGAGCAAACAGG
RNAcentral lists this ribosomal RNA (404 nucleotides) under uncultured bacterium. RNAcentral describes it as "bacterial SSU rRNA". It matches the Rfam family "Bacterial small subunit ribosomal RNA", at positions 355 to 776 of the family's 1533-position model. The record is from RNAcentral.